Molecule: ribosomal RNA, 468 nt
Filed under: uncultured bacterium
Lineage: Bacteria
Description: partial 16S ribosomal RNA
Rfam family: Bacterial small subunit ribosomal RNA
Source: RNAcentral
GACGAACGCUGGCGGCGUGCUUAACACAUGCAAGUCGAACGGAAAGGCCCUGCUUUUGUGGGGUGCUCGAUUGGCGAACGGGUGAGUAACACGUGAGUAACCUGCCCUUGACUUUGGGAUAACUUCAGGAAACUGGGGCUAAUACCGGAUAGGAGCUCCUGCUGCAUGGUGGGGGUUGGAAAGUUUCGGCGGUUGGGGAUGGACUCGCGGCUUAUCAGCUUGUUGGUGGGGUAGUGGCUUACCAAGGCUUUGACGGGUAGCCGGCCUGAGAGGGUGACCGGCGACAUGGGGACUGCGAGACGGCGCAGACGCCUACGGGAGGCAGCAGUGGGGAAUAUUGCACAAUGGGCGGAAGCCAGAUGCAGCAACGCCGCGUGCGGGAUGACGGCCUUCGGGGUGUAAACCGAUUUCGACUGUGACGAAGCGUGAGUGACGGUAAUGGGUAAAGAAGCACCGGCUAACUACGUG